Molecule: ribosomal RNA, 611 nt
Filed under: uncultured Tricholomataceae
Lineage: Eukaryota; Fungi; Basidiomycota; Agaricomycetes; Agaricales; Tricholomataceae
Description: eukaryotic LSU rRNA
Rfam family: Eukaryotic large subunit ribosomal RNA
Source: RNAcentral
ACCUCAAAUCAGGGUAGGACUACCCGCUGAACUUAAGCAUAUCAAUAAGCGGAGGAAAAGAAACUAACAAGGAUUCCCCUAGUAACUGCGAGUGAAGCGGGAAAAGCUCAAAUUUGAAAUCUGGCAGUUCUUGCAGCUGUCCGAGUUGUAAUUUAGAGAAGUGUUGCCCGCGCUGGACCGUAUAUAAGUCCUUUGGAAUGAGGCGUCAUAGAGGGUGAGAAUCCCGUCUUUGAUACGGACUACCAGUGCUUUGUGGUAUGCUCUCAAAGAGUCGAGUUGUUUGGGAAUGCAGCUCAAAAUGGGUGGUAAAUUCCAUCUAAAGCUAAAUAUAGGCGAGAGACCGAUAGCGAACAAGUACCGUGAGGGAAAGAUGAAAAGAACUUUGGAAAGAGAGUUAAACAGUACGUGAAAUUGCUGAAAGGGAAACGCUUGAAGUCAGUCGCAUUGGUUGAGAAUCAGCCUUGCUUUUGCUUGGUGUACUUCUUAACUGAUGGGUCAGCAUCAGUUUUGACUGUUGGAUAAAGUUCAAAGGAAUGUGGCAUCUUCGGGUGUGUUAUAGCCUUCGUUCGUAUACAGCAGUUGGGACUGAGGAACUCAGCACGCCGCAAGGC